Molecule: non-coding RNA, 73 nt
Organism: Thermochaetoides thermophila DSM 1495
Lineage: Eukaryota; Fungi; Ascomycota; Sordariomycetes; Sordariales; Chaetomiaceae
Source: the annotation of a RefSeq genome assembly
GCCCGGCUAGUUCAAUCGGUAAAGCGUGAGACUUAAAAUCUCAAGGUGGUGGGAUCGACCCCCACGUCGGGCU